RNAcentral lists this ribosomal RNA (250 nucleotides) under uncultured Actinomycetales bacterium. RNAcentral describes it as "partial 16S ribosomal RNA". It matches the Rfam family "Bacterial small subunit ribosomal RNA", at positions 81 to 334 of the family's 1533-position model. Lineage: Bacteria; Bacillati; Actinomycetota; Actinomycetes; Actinomycetales. The record is from RNAcentral.
CUUCUCUGAUGUUAGCGGCGGACGGGUGAGUAACACGUGGAUAACCUACCUAUAAGACUGGGAUAAGCUUGGGAAACUGGGUCUAAUACCGGAUAGGAACCGUCUUUAGUGUGGUGGUUGGAAAGUUUUUUCGGUGCAAGAUGAGCUCGCGGCCUAUCAGCUUGUUGGUGGGGUAAUGGCCUACCAAGGCGACGACGGGUAGCCGGCCUGAGAGGGUGGACGGCCACAUUGGGACUGAGACACGGCCCAG